RNAcentral lists this ribosomal RNA (483 nucleotides) under uncultured bacterium. RNAcentral's name for it is "partial 16S ribosomal RNA". It matches the Rfam family "Bacterial small subunit ribosomal RNA", at positions 28 to 507 of the family's 1533-position model. The record is from RNAcentral.
GACGAACGCUGGCGGCGUGCUUAACACAUGCAAGUCGAACGCUGAAGCUCAGCUUUUGUUGGGUGGAUGAGUGGCGAACGGGUGAGUAACACGUGAGUAACCUGCCCCCUUCUUUGGGAUAACGUCCGGAAACGGGUGCUAAUACUGGAUAUUCACUGGUCUUCGCAUGGGGGUUGGUGGAAAGGGUUUUUCUGGUGGGGGAUGGGCUCGCGGCCUAUCAGCUUGUUGGUGGGGUGAUGGCCUACCAAGGCUUUGACGGGUAGCCGGCCUGAGAGGGUGACCGGUCACAUUGGGACUGAGAUACGGCCCAGACUCCUACGGGAGGCAGCAGUGGGGAAUAUUGCACAAUGGGAGCAAGCCUGAUGCAGCGACGCCGCGUGAGGGAUGGAGGCCUUCGGGUUGUGAACCUCUUUCGCUCAUGGUCAAGCCGCAACAAUGGUUGUGGUGAGGGUAGUGGGUAAAGAAGCGCCGGCUAACUACGUG